RNAcentral lists this long non-coding RNA (1236 nucleotides) under Zalophus californianus (California sea lion). RNAcentral describes it as "lncRNA (ENSZCAG00015018027.1)". Lineage: Eukaryota; Metazoa; Chordata; Mammalia; Carnivora; Otariidae. The record is from RNAcentral.
GUAAGUGAUGUCAAAUAUGAAUAGAUGAAUUUCCUCGAUAAGUAGUAUUGAAUACAUGAAAGAAUGAAUUUAUGAUUUGUGAAUUUUUGCUCUUCUAAACAUGUUUGCUCCAAUGUCUCUUGUCAGCAGAUGGGUUUGUGAGAAGAGAUUAAAACUGCUCAAGGAGCACAUCCAGAGUUUGUACUCUGCAAUGGGGACAAUAAUUUUGUUCUGAUUUCUGGUAUACUACCUUGCUUGGAUGACUAAUAUCCUAUGACACCGUCCUUGAACUGAUGCAGACUCUCCUGCUUCAUGUUGAACCAGCUCAGCAUGGUUUUCUGAGUAGGGUUAAUUUAUUGCUGAAGAAUAAUAACCUGGGUAUGCUGACUAAUACAAAUUCUAGUGGUCACAGCUGCCUACAGCACUGAAGUAACACGUGGCAGGUAAUCUGGCGGUUGCUGCAAAAUUUCAUACCUGCCAAAACUAAUGUAUGUGCCUGUUGCUGCAAAAAGAAUAACAGCCUCUGCUUCCCUCGGCCUUCCAAACUGUGUAUGAGUACCUCUCACUGGCAGAAAUAAAUUGGGACUCAAUUCGCAGGAAAUUCUGGGAAAUAGUUUCAAGGCUUCUAGUCCCUGCUAUAUGGGGGUACAAAGAAAACAGGCAAGAUGGUGCUGAGUACCAACAGACAAUCUGAAAGAAUAUAUAUUCUAGACAAAAACAGAAACUAAAAGAUAUAACUGUAAAACAAGAAACGAUAAAGAAUGACAAAAGAUUUUCAAUAAGAGAAAAAAUAUAGAGAAAUUUAAAAACAUAAGAAUUGAAAUGGAAAAAUCAUGGCUAGAUGAAAGGGCAGAUUAGAUAUAGCUAAAGGAAUCAUUAUUGAACGGGAAGACAGUGUAAAAACUAUAUCCAAAAUUCAACUCAGAGAGACAGUCAUUGAAUAUGUGAAGUUAAGAGGAUAGAAUGAGAAGGACUAAUACAUGUUCUUUCGAGUUUCCAGAUGAAGAUGAGUUAGAAAAGAAAAUCGAUCCUAAAAAUAGUAUUUGUUGAGACUUCCCUGAUGACUCAAAUGUUGAAAGAAACCAGUUGAAAGAACCCAGUUCUUAAAUUCAAGAAGCCCAAAUAAUCCCCAAACUAUAAAAUAUAAGGAAAUCCAUAACUAGGCCCACUGUGAUAAAAUUUCAGAACACUAUAUACCAAAAACAAACAAAAAAGAUCUUAAAAACAGCCAGAGAGAAAAGAAAGAUCAGGGGCUCC